GCGUCCGUAGCUCAGCUGGAUAGAAGUACUGGCUACGAACCAGGCGGUCAGAGGUUCGAAUCCUCUCGGACGCGCCA
RNAcentral lists this transfer RNA (77 nucleotides) under Vibrio cholerae O1 biovar El Tor. RNAcentral's name for it is "tRNA-Arg (ACG) (tRNA-Arg-ACG-3-1)". It matches the Rfam family "tRNA". Rfam says of the family: Transfer RNA (tRNA) molecules are approximately 80 nucleotides in length. Their secondary structure includes four short double-helical elements and three loops (D, anti-codon, and T loops). The record is from RNAcentral. Lineage: Bacteria; Pseudomonadati; Pseudomonadota; Gammaproteobacteria; Vibrionales; Vibrionaceae.